AUGCCACCAGAUAGAGACAUUGAGUUCUUGAUUGAACUUUUGCCAGGCACAGGGCCAAUAUCUAAGAGACCGUACAGGAUGCCCGCAAAGGAUUUGGAGGAAAUUAAGAAGCAGAUCAAGGAGUUACUGGAUAAAGCAUAUAUUCGCCCAAGUUCGUCACCUUGGGGAUCACCAGUACUUCUAGUGGAGAAGAAAGAUGGAUCGCUGAGGAUGGUUGUUGAUUACCGUGGAUUGAAUGAAGUAACCAUCAAAAACAAGUACCCACUGCCGAUGAUCAAUGAUUUGUUUGACCGCCUACAAGGAGCUAAAGUAUUUUCCAAGAUCGAUUUACGAUCAGGAUACCAUCAGUUAAAGAUUCGAGAGCAGCAUAUACCCAAGACGGCAUUUACCACCCGAUAUGGAUUGUAUGAAUAUACCGUUAUGUCAUUUGGUCUGACUAACGCACCUGCCUAUUUCAUGAACCUGAUGAACAAAGUGUUUAUGGAAUUUUUUGAUAAGUUCGUCGUGGUGUUCAUUGAUGAUAUUCUAGUCUUUUCCAAGAAUGAAGAAGAGCAUGAGGAGCAUUUGCGAUUGGUACUUGAGAAGCUCAGAGAACACCAGUUAUAUGCCAAGUUCAGCAAGUGUGAAUUUUGGCUGAAGGAAGUUGGAUUCCUUGGACAUGUUAUUUCUGGAGAAGGAAUAGCAGUAGACCCUGCCAAGGUUGACACAGUGACAAGUUGGGAAUCACCCACAACAGUUGGAGAAAUCCGGAGUUUUCUUGGACUUGCAGGAUACUACCGGAGAUUCAUCGAGAAUUUCUCAAGGAUUGCUAAGCCCAUGACGGAGCUAUUAAAGAAGGACACCAAAUUCAAUUGGACUGAGGAAUGUGAAGCUAGUUUCCAGGAGUUGAAGAAACGAUUGGUUACCUCACCAGUGUUGAUUCUGCCAGAUCAACGCAAGGACUAUGAAGUUUAUUGUGACGCUUCUCGUCGAGGACUUGGAGCAGUGCUUAUGCAGGAAGGAAGAGUUGUGUCAUAUGCUUCACGACAACUU
RNAcentral lists this ribosomal RNA (1032 nucleotides) under Triticum aestivum (bread wheat). Its description in RNAcentral is "partial small subunit ribosomal RNA". Lineage: Eukaryota; Viridiplantae; Streptophyta; Magnoliopsida; Poales; Poaceae. The record is from RNAcentral.